This is a long non-coding RNA of Mesoplodon densirostris (Blainville's beaked whale), 3135 nucleotides long. RefSeq lists it as uncharacterized. NCBI's taxonomy places the organism in Eukaryota, Metazoa, Chordata, Mammalia, Artiodactyla, Ziphiidae. The transcript has 7 exons. The record is from RefSeq and is a predicted model, not a curated record.
UUCCGGCGGGCGGGACGCGGAAGUGGUGGCCUGUGGCCUGAGGGGUGUUGAGUGGCCGCUCGGCCGGAGCGCGCUGGGCCUAGGGCCCGGGAACUGAGAUGCGGGGAGCGACGCACGCGGGCUCCUGGCCCCUGAGCCACGCCGAGGAGUCGUCAGGAGCAUCUCGGGACGAGGAAGCCUCCAGCCCAGCAUCGGGUGCAAGGACAACAGCCUUACAGAUUCUGCUUAAGCUGCUCCUGCGAUAGCCUAAGGUCCAGACUCUGUAGGGAUUCUGCUUCUCUGAUGGAACCUUAGCUGAUACGCAGAAGUGGACAGCCCAGUGUUGGAAUGGAGGACGCACCUUGUCUUUCAGUUCAGCCAUCCUUACCACAAGUGCUUCCAUCCUCAGGAUCACAAGUGCAAGUAUAAUAUCAAGAUGAUUUGACUGUAAGCAACAAAGAAUCAAACAAAAAUGGCCUGAACAAAAAAGACAAUUUGUUACCCCAUAUUACAAGAAAUUUGGGGGUUGAGUGGUUGAAAGGCUGAUUGAUUUAGAAACUUGACAAUAGUUCCCACUUUCCCUAUGGUGGCUACAGCCCCUCAUCCUUCAGACUUGCUAGAUGGCUGCGGCAUUGCCACAAAGAUGCCCCCACACAGCAGUGCUUCAAGACUGCAGAGAGGGCCUCCUUCCUCUGUCCCUUUCCCAAGGCUCCGCAGAAGACUCACCUUCAUGUCACAUUCCACUCCUGGACUGGUCACUUGGCAGGGGGAACGGAUUUACCAUGGUGGCCAAAAGCCAAUUAAGAGUCACCCCUAGACCAUAAAGAGGCCCAAUCUCUGGAGAGCAUUUGGCUGCUCACUACCAAGCAAAUCUGGUACCCCUGAAAAGAAAGAGCUGCCAUGUCGUCACCUUGAGUGGAAGCACUGCUGACACACAGGAUGACAGAGCAGAGAGGCAGAGAGGGCCCAGGUCUUGUGGAUAAUGGGGAGCAGCUGAAUCCACACAGGACGGCUCACCUUCCGGCUUCUCAGAUGGACACUUGGGCUUCUACCACCUUUUUGUUAUUGUGAAUAAUACUGCUACGAACAUGGGUGUACAAACAUCUCUCCAAGUCCCUGUUUUCAAUUCUUCUGGGCACAGAUAUAUACCUAAAAGUGGAGUUCCUGGAUCAUAUGCUUCAAGGGGCAGAAGACAUGGCUUAGGAGCUGCCCAAGGUGCAGUGUUUAACAGGAGACCCCGUCAUUAAAGCUGGGACUACCCCUUCCCCCAAAGGCUACCCAUGUAAAAUUUAGUUAGAAGUUAUCUUGACACCCAGUGGACACCAAAGAAAAUUACCUGAUUGAAACUGAAUGCUGAGUAAAGGAAAGAAAGUGUCCCCUUUGAAACCAUGUCUAUACCCAUCUCUUCCUCACACUGUUUUGCAGGCAAAAUUUAGACUAACUGAAAUCUUUGAAAAAUUCUCAAGCCUAUAAUUUGAUUUAAAGUGAUCCUGGGUUGGUCGUACCUGCUGGCAUCUGGCAAACAGAAACCCAAACCCUUUUUGGAGGAUUUCUCUGAAGGAACCCACCUUCAAACUAAACCUCAAAAAAUUCCUUCGGAAAAACUUCCAGAAGAUACUAAUUUAUAUAAGAAAUACCAAAAUAAUAAUGAAGCAAGUGACCAUGACUGAGAGGCAGCAGAAACUAAGGACCUCAGUAAACAUGAAAAGAUUUCAGAUACUGGAAUUGUCAAAGACAGACUGUAAAAGAGUCAUAUCUAAAGAAAUAAAUAAGAGAUUAAACUUAUGAGCAAGGGAAAAGAAACUGAAAAUGAUCAAGCACAUUUGAAAAAGUCAAAUAAAACUUCCUCUAGAAAUAAAAAAUAUCAUAAAUGAAAUUUAAAAACUCACUGUCUGAAUUUAACAGCAAAUAAGACCCAGCAGAAGAGAGAAUUAGUGAGCUAGAAAAUAGAUAUAAAUAAAUGCUGGACUACAUGACGGAGGCUUAAAAGAGAUGGACAAUCUUUAAUCAGAGACCCAGAAGAAGAGAGAAUGAAGAGGGAGACGGGAGAGUCAAUGUUUGAAGGGAUGGAUGGUGGAUAAGAAAAUGACCAGAAUUGAUGAAAGAUACCAGUGCUGAGAUUCAGGAAGUCUGAGUUCCUAAAAGGAUGUGGAAGAAGGAAUACCUACCAGGACUCAUCAUGAAAAUGUAGAACACUUAAAGUCAAGAUCUUAAAUGGAGCUGUAGAGAAAAGACAGAUCACCUAGAAAGAAGCUGCUGUUCAGACGGAUGCCUAACUUCUCACCAGCAGCAGUAGAAGCCAGAAGUCAGUGAAAUCAUAUCUUCGAUAUGUUAAGGAAAAAUAUUAGUUAAUUUAGAUGAUGAACUGGGUCUUGAAGGAGGAAUGGGUAGCUUAGGUCUCAUGUUUUCUCAGGGGCUCAGUCUCCCCUGGGCUGCUGCUCCUUCAAAGCAAUCAUAUUUCAGUGAGUGCCCCCGGCCCAGACGGUUCUUAUCAAAGGUUCGAUGAGGGGUGUGCCCCUCUGCUGGUUUCCCUGGUAACCGAUGAGCCAACCCCUGUAACUGGUAACCUCCUGCUCCCCCAGGAACAAAGACUGCUGCCACGUCCUGCCCACAGUCCGCUACACACAGUGGGGUGUACUUCCAGGACCUUGCUUCGGGCAUGUAACCUCCUCCAUCCAUUAAACCAUCAAUGUCUCUGUCGCUGACUCCGGGCUCUUCCUUCCGUCUUGAGGCUGGGCAGGCCUGCGGGGUGCAGCCCAACAUGAGGGAAAAGCCUUAUUGAUCCUGGUCUGAUUCAUUAGGAGCCAUUUGGGUCCACAAGGGUGGGGAAGCACUUGCUUCUUACUGCAUUUUUAUCUUUGUAAACAUAGCCAUAGAACACCAGUUCACACACUGAUAGGUAAAUGCUGUGGACUGAAUGUUUUGUGUGUCCCCUCCCCAAAUUCAUGUGUUGAAUUCCCAGUGCCCAAUGUGAUGGCAUUAGUAUGUGGGGCCUUUGGGAGAUGCUUAGGUCAUGAGGGUGGAGCCCUCAUGAGAGGAAUUACUGCCCUUAUAAGGAGACCCCAUAGAGUACCCUUGCCCAUUCCACCAUGUGAAGACACAGGGAGCAGAUGUGGGCUGUGAACCAGCAUGAAGGCCGUCACCAGCAUGAGACCA